Oncorhynchus tshawytscha (Chinook salmon) is the source of this 924-nucleotide long non-coding RNA. Lineage: Eukaryota; Metazoa; Chordata; Actinopteri; Salmoniformes; Salmonidae. The record is from Ensembl.
GUAACAGCGUUUAUUUCAAGAGAGUACUCCCCCAUACACAUAUUUCCACAGGUUAUAAACUGAAAAUGACGUCAGCGUUUUCUAAACGUUCUAUCUAUUUCACAAGUAGAGGGGCCCUCUAGCCUUCGCGUUAUCAGCACGAAGUCAAGGCCAGUCAGUAUAAAUCGACAUUCUAGACAGUCUGGAGAUGGGCCGUUCCCGCCACCUGGAGAUUUGUACACUGAAUGAACUAAGGAACAGACCUUCACUGUCACUAAACUCCUGACUACAUUAUAUACAAUUGGGAAUGGGAGCAAGAGAGAAAAUUCACAUGUACAGUACAUUAUAGCAUUUGGACUAGUCAGUUCUGAUUGGAAUGUGUACAUAAUUAGUCAUUUCAACCAUAAUUUCCUCUAACAAGAUUACAGCAUUAUAUCAGGCUAAUCAAGGUGCAGAUUACAGGAUUAUAUCAGGCUAAUCGGGGUGUAGAUUACAGCAUUAUAUCAGGCUAAUCAAGGUGCAGAUUACAGCAUUAUAUCAGGCUAAUGGGGGUGUAGAUUACAGCAUUAUAUCAGGCUAAUCAAGGUGUAGAUUACAGCAUUAUAUCAGGCUAAUGAAGGUGUAGAUUACAGCAUUAUAUCAGGCUAAUGGGGGUGUAGAUUACAGCAUUAUAUCAGGCUAAUCAAGGUGUAGAUUACAGCACUAUAUCAGGCUAAUAAAGGUGUAGAUUACAGCAUUAUAUCAGGCUAAUCAGGGUGUAGAUUACAGCAUUAUAUCAGGCUAAUCAAGGUGUAGAUUACAGCAUUAUAUCAGGCUAAUCAAGGUGCCGAUUACAGCAUUAUAUCAGGCUAAUCAAGGUGCCGAUUACAGCAUUAUAUCAGGCUAAUCAAGGUGUAGAUUACAGCAUUAUAUCAGGCUAAUCAAGGUGUAGAUUACAGCAUUAUA